GGGGUUUAAUUUGUAAAUUAGGGUUUGGGGUUUGAACAUUUCUUGUUACUAUUUUUUGUGUCGAGUUGUUUGGAAUCAAGAAUCGUUGGUGGUGGUAAAAGUUGGACGGAGAGUUGAAUCCUCGUCUUAUUGAGGAUGUCGAUCCGGUUGGAGGAGGACUGUUUCGCUUAAUCCAAAGUCGGAUUCGUGGUCACCGGCAAAAUCUAGAUAGGGUUAGUGUUUGGAGUUUGAGAUUUUGAGUAGUGGUUCGCCGGAGAAGAAGGUAGCGUCGCCGCCGUUGGCCGGCAACCACCGUCUUCUCCGAUAGGUGGUGACCAGGAGUGAUGGUGGGAUAUGAAGAGCAUGUGUUUGCUCUGAGAGGAAGAGAGAGAAGAUUUUGACGAAAGUGGCAUUUUUUUUUGUUAUUUGUUUUAACAAAGGAUUAAGUGGCAAGGGUUUGGGGCGAGUGGCGGUGAGAAGUGUCACCGACUUUGGACACUUGUCACCGGUGAGCAUAGGGAGAACCUUUUGUUCCCAUGCACGAGGGUGCGUUGUGCUAUGGUGCGACCCUCCUUGGCGUUUCUCUGUUUCGAAGACCAAGUCAGAUCUACAGAUCUGACAGUCCGGAGAACACCCCUUGGUCAACACGGUUGACCGGGUCUGCUUGGACCCUUACGUGAAAUGAAUUGGGCCGUUUCUUUUAAGCCCAUUUAUUUUAUUCAUUUCAUUCUGUCUCUCUAUCAGCACCCCCCCCCCCCGGGUUGGAUCAGCAACACCCACUUGGGCUUGGCCUUUACCUAGGGCCCAAUUGUUUUUUUUCUUUUUCUUUUUCUUUAUCCUCUUUUAGCCCAUUUUUAGUUGUUUGCUUAAUUCAAAUAGAGUUUUUAUCCACCAAUUACGUUCCUAUUAUCAUUAUUACUAAUAUCUAAGUUAAUUUUAUAAUUUACCAUUAUUUAAUUAGUUAAUCUUAUUAUUUUUACCAUCCUUUAUUAUUUGGAUAUAAUUUAGGUAAUUACUCAUUGUGUGAAGUUUGUGUACAAUAUUAUUUUGUGUUUAUCAAUUCAUUUGUACAAAUUCUUGAGUACACAUGUAUGGUGUGCUACAAUUGUGACAAGUUAUUUCAAUUUCACCUAUUUAAAAAACAUUCCACUCAAUUUCAAGGAUAAACCAUAAACAUCUCGAUUCAAAGUUGAGCCCAUUUUAAAUACCUUUGUAAGUCGAUCGCUUUUAAAACAUCGCCAUCAACCUCACAUAGCUUACUCUUGGGCUUUCUUACAAUGAUACCUAUUCAAUUUUUAUUUAAUCGAGUAGAAGAACAAUACACUAAAUAAAUUCAUUUCAUUCACAAAGCACCAAAUUAAAACUCGAUCCAAUGUCGAGUAUUUUCACUCAGAAUUAAAUUAACGUAUCCAAUCGCAAUCAAGUACCAUUUCAUUUGGAAAUGAAAAGGGGGAUGACUUUGAGUUUUCAAUUCUUCUCCUCGAUUAUUUGAAUACGAGUUCCCUUACUCGGUUAGUCAAAUAGUCGUCGCUUCUAUCCACCUAAGCACAAACAAAUUGAAUCAUUCUUAUAAUAAGAAACGAAAAGGGAGAUGACUUUGAGUCUUCAAUUUUUCUCCUCGAUUAUUUGAAUACAAGUUCUCUUACUUGGUUAGUCAAAUAAUUGUCGUUCCUCUACAAACUUCCAAACCCCGAAACGAAAAGGGAGAUGACUUUGAGUCUUCAAUUUUUCUCCUCGAUUAUUUGAAUACAAGUUCUCUUACUUGGUUAGUCAAAUAAUUGUCGUUCCUCUACAAACUUCCAAACCCCGAUUAAAUCAAAACCCUUUCAUAAUAAGCUAAAUGAAAAAGGAGAUGACUUUUAGUCUUCAACUUCUCUCCUCAAUUGGUUGAAUACGAGUUCUCUUACUCGGUCAGUCGAACAAUUGUCAUUUUUCCACAAACAUAUAACUUAAUCAAAUCAUUUUCAUAAAAAACUGUACGAAAAGGGAGAUGGUCUUGAGUUUUCAAAUCCUCUUCUCAAAUGCUUGGAUAUGAGUUGUCUUACUCGGUCAUUCAAGUACUUGUCGUUCAUUCUAAAAUACAUCAACCAUACACCACCUUAUUUUCAUAACUACUCAGAUGAAACAAAAAGUGGUCUAGAGUCUUCUAUUCCCUUUCCCGACUAUUAGGAUACGAGUUGUCUUACUCGACUAUCCGAGUAAUCGUCAUCCAUUCAAAACACCUUAAUUAUCAUUAAAUUCUUUUUAUAAUUAAGGAUGAAAAAGAAAGUGGUCUAGAGUCUUCUAUUCCCUUUCCCGAAUAUUAGGAUACGAGUUGUCUUACUCGACUAUCCGAGUAAUCGUCAUCCAUUCAAAACACCUUAAUUAUCAUUAAAAUCUUUUUAUAAUUAAGGAUGAAAAAGAAAGAGUUAUAGAGUCUUCUAUUCCCUUUCAUGGUUAUUAGGAUACGACUUGUCUUACUCGGCUAUCCAAGUAAUCAUCAUCCAACCAAAAAUAUCUCAACACAUCAAAUAUAUCCUUUUCUUUCCCUAAUGAGAUCGAAACCAAUCAAAACAUCCAACACGUCAAUUCAAUUCGUCACCCCUCGCGUGACCGAAACCUUUCUUUCAAAAAGAACACUAUCAAUCCUUUCUAAUUCGCACAAUAAACUAGUGCUAGAGCCUCCACCGAGAGUAGACAAGCCAACGUUUAGCCUUUAGAACGCCGACCUACAUAGUCGUUCAUCAAACAAAACACCAAUUAUUCGUAGUAGCCCGAACUACGAAUGCUUUGAUUUCCUUAUUGCACCAUAAGUAUAUGUAGGAAGGAGAUUGCAGUAUCUUCGCGAGCACACUAAUAAAAAACCUCGAUUUUCCCCCUUCUGUGGUCUUCAUCCAUAUUUAUUAUCAACAUUAAUUACUCGAAUAAAACAAACAAACAUUCAGCUAACACUCAAAUCAUAAAAUUAAACUAAAAGGUACCCGUUGAGUACAACGGACAUGAGGGGUGCUAGUACCUUCCCCUUGCGUAAUCCACUCCCGAACCCGAGUAUGGUUGCGACGACCAUUAUUCCAUUUUCUUAAAGGUUUUCACGAUAAAUUCCUAUUCCUUCAUUGGAAUGAAUAAAGUUCGGUGGCGACUCUGUUCGAACUAAACAUUUUUCCGAAUUCCAUCGCGAGGGAUCGCAUUUUUUUGAGGUGCGACAGACUGACGACUCUGCUGGGGACCCAUGCUCCAAGCAAGAGAGAGUGAAGCGUAGCUUAGUUUAAUUUUUGUAUUGAAUGCUAAUCUUGUUUGUUUGUUUUUUAUUUUUAUUCUGUUAUUAUUUUGUUGUAAUUAUUGUGUUGUGGUUUAUUUCCUGUGACACUAUUGGGGUUCUCUGAUUAUUGGUACUAUGUGAGAUAGGCUCUCUACCCGAGUCUGAGAAAAAAUAUAAGUUUAAGUUGGUGGUUGCAUAGUGAACGCCCACAAGGAGUCUUCCUUGUUGGGAAGAUACGAAGACCCCGCCUAGAGGAGAUUCUCUUGAGAUAUUAUUGUCCGACGAGCCUUCGUCACGGUGAUGGUGUUUCAAGUUGGAUCAAUGACUCUAGGGACCUUUUAACCCAUUAUAUCCGGAGGCUAUGUAGUAUUAACCUACGAAGUUUCAUACUUGUGGGGUUAAUACGAAAACCCCAAUCAGAUGAGAUCCCUUGUGUAGCGGGGUAUUCGUUACCUUUAGAUUUAUUAACUAAAUCAAAAGUAAAUCAUACAAUUCGAGUCGCCACCGCAUUUCUAUUUAUCCAAAGGAAAGGUUAGAAAGAGAACAAAAACCGAGAAGUUUUAUCGAAUCAAAAACUAAUAAAAAUGUCAGAGAUCGGGGUAAGGGGGUUGGUUAUGCAAUGGGAAGGUUUUAAGCAAGUUAGAAAGAGAACAAAAACCGAGAAGUUUUAUCGAAUCAAAAACUAAUAAAAAUGUCAGAGAUCGGGGUAAGGGGGUUGGUUAUGCAAUGGGAAGGUUUUAAGCACCCAAAACAUCCUAGGUACUCUUAUGAAGCCCUUUUCACAAUUUGUUGUAAGGUAGGUUGGUAUUUGUGAAAAUUAUUUGUGCAAACAUGAUUGGGGAGAUGAGAGAAGAAUAUACAAGUUAUUUACAAUUUUCUGUUUGAAUGGAUAAACCCACUGCCUACGUACCAUCUUAAAAAGAUUAGGAUCAAAACCUCAUAGUUCGGGGUAAAAAUCUCAAAAGAAGUUGGUGAAUUGAUUGGUCUAAAAGCCUUAAGGUAUUUUGUUAUCCAAGGGAGAAAACUCAACCUAAAGCCACAAAUCCACCAUGUGAGGAUAGCUUCAACAUGCUAGUGAGGGGUUAACUCUGUAAUAAGCAUGGAAGACUCAUUGUCCAUCACUAAGGAUAUAGGUGAGUAUUAUAUCUACCUCAAGGAUAACUCAAACCUAAUAGCUAAUGGUUAUGAAAUUUUUUGAUAAGAAAGUGUUCAUUGAAACCAUAAAACAUUUGAGUGAGUUAUAUUUACCAAUGAAAAGUAUUUAUAAAAUAUGGUCAAAGUUGACUUAAAGAUUUAAUUCAAAAUAAGUGUUAUGAAAAGAAGUUUGAAAAUCAAAAGCAUAAUGCUUAGGUUUCUAAUGUUUGAAAAGAAAUGUUAAUGUUUGCACAAAAGUUUUGGCUUUGGUUAGAGUGGAGGGAAGAAGAAGAAUGGCUAAGUCCUAAACAUACAAGAGAUGAAGGAAAAGAAAUAAGACCGCAAAUGGAGUUCCCUUCUUGAGAUCAUAUUGAUGAUCCAAGUAGCUCUCAUCCUUUGGAAUAAGCAAGAAAAUAAGCAAAUACUCAAGCAAUCAAUCAAUCAAGCAAGCUCUUAGGAAUCCUCCAAUGGCUUUUGUAUCUCUCACUUUAGAAGCUCGUGACAAUGGUUCUUCACUUAGGCUCAAAGUUGGAAUCCCUAGCACAAGAACACACACAUCAAAAAGUUCUAUAAUGCAAACAAAGAAUGGACAAGAGGGAUUUUAGAGAGUAGGUCCUUUUAAUCACUUAAGCAUUCUAAAGGCAGGAGGCCUAGUUGCUCUUUGACUUUUAUAGCACUCUAAAGGAAUGAGGCCUAGUUUCUCUUUGACUCCAUUUUUGCAUAGGAAAUGUCCUAAAGUCUAAGUCCUUUUAUCCAUUUGCAAUUGGUUCACAACAAUCAAAACAAAACACAAGCACAAUAAUAUAUAAACAAUUAUGUGCUCAAGUGAGCAAAAGGCAAAUUGCAUUAACAUAAACAUGUGCUCAAAUGAGCAAAGGGCAAAAUCAAAUGAAUAAUAUGUACAAGAAUAUUAAAUUGCAUAAAUGUAAAGUGCAGAAAUUAAAUGUUAAUGGUCAAUAGUUAGAGUUAAUGUGCCAUAAGGCAAUUUAGCGUUAUGUUAAGCAAUCGUAAGUGGACUAAUGUAGUAGUCACACCUAUUUGAGACCGGUCAAUAAAAAUAUAGGCAACAACACAAGUUAGAGAUCUUGAUUAGUGAAUCAAGCUCCUACAACUUGCCAUGCCAAAAGAAGAUGAGAAAUGAUUUUGUAUUAAUUUAGGUUCUUUGUUUGAUUAGGAAGCAACCUAUCCUUAAUGCAAAGCCAUUCACUUGAUCUAUGAUCAAGAUGAAUUAGAUUUGAAUCAAGGAAGGUUAAACCUCCCAUUCAUCAAGGCUAACCACCAAUCUUUAACUCAAGGUCAAACUUCAAAUCCAUUUCAAAUCAACUUUGAAAAGUCCAAAUGGAUCAUCCUAAGUUCAACAAGGUCAAACAAAGUUUGACAAAAAAUUUCAGCAUUUUUAAAAACCAGAAACUAUUUUUAAUCAAUUAAAAAUGUAUAAAAAUAACCUAAUUGAAUUAAAAUCUCAAAUAAAUCUCAAAUCAAUUAAUAAAUUGAUGAGAAUAUUUUUCAUGGAUCCAUCAUCAUUCAAAGAGGUUAAGAAAAUAUUUUUGUAUUUUUUUUAAUAUCAAAAACUAUUUAAAAUGAAUUAAAAACAACCAGAAAAGAUAAAAUUCAUAAAAAAUAUCAAAUGAUAAAAUAAAAAAUAUUAAAAUUCAUUUUUAGAAACUAGAAAUUAAAAGAGAAAUAAUGCAAUUGGUCUCACAUUUUUUGGACUAAUAAUGAAUGAGAUAUGAUUUUUUGAAAUGAAAAUGGAAUAAAAGAAAUAAAAUGAAAAUUGAAAUAAAAAAUAAAAAUGGAAAAAACGUGAGGCGUAGGAUCUAAGCUCAUUAAUUGAGCUGGAAAAUCAGAUUUGGAUCACAUGCGCGCAUCCACCAAACACUUAAGUCAACUGAGCAACAUGUGGCAUUAAAAAAGUCAUAAGAAAGAAGGAUCCAGAUUAGAUCUGGAAAAUGCAUCGUGUGGCCAUGAUUUGAUCUGGAAUUGGGACGGUGGUGUACACCACCGUCUUCUCCGGCGAGACCUCCAACGCCGGUGAGAGUUGCAGACAUGGCAACCUCAACCAAAUGCCACGAUCUAUACAACAAUGGAAAGCUGGGGUGAUGUACAUCACCCCUGUGCCAUCUAUUUUCGCUCUAGGAUUCCAUGGUAAAAGAAAUCAGAGGUUGAAAAUUAUGAUGUUCAACUGAAACUUAAUGGAUUUUCAAAAUUCAAAGCAUCAAUCAGAUGUACAUCACCCCUGUGCCAUCUAUUUUCGCUCUAGGAUUCCAUGGUAAAAGAAAUCAGAGGUUGAAAAUUAUGAUGUUCAACUGAAACUUAAUGGAUUUUCAAAAUUCAAAGCAUCAAUCAAUUUCCUCUGAUGAGAGGACUUCAUCCAACCCAAUAAAUGCAAGAAACAAGUUAUAAAUAAAGAGAUUCGAAGAAGGAAAGUUUGAGCAUCCGCCUUUGAAAUAUGGAUCUGAAAGGCACGAAUUCUCUUAGAUGUUGCUUGCAGUAUGAUCUCAGGAUGAAGAUGAAGCAAGGUCAAGGAACUAUGAGUAUGAAAAUCAACCAAUGAAGUUGAAAUUCUGAUCUGAAAAUUUGAAAAGAAAGAGAGAGUUCCUUUAAGUGAGGCUAUAGAGGGAUUCUUCCAGCAUAACAGGCGUCUUCAGGUUAUCUAAAUGUGAAGCCUAGCACUCCUAUAUAUAGCAAUUGGCAAGGCAAAUGCAUGAACGAAGUGUGUGCAUGGAUGAAGAGGGCCUCCAUGCAUGGGCCUGUACAGGCGCAUGGAGGGCCCAAUUCCAAUUAGAAAUGAAUGCUGAUACCACAUUUGAGUGAAGUGGACGUGCAGAAAUGAUGCAAUCAGCUUGUGCCAUGAGUUUUCAAUAAGUUUCCAAAAAUGCACUAAAAUAUUAUCUUCUUCAAAAAUGAUGCUUCCAAAAAUAAAACAUAGCCUUAUGGGUAAUGGUUGGAAAGGUCUUGACAUGAGAAUCAAUUGUUAUGUUGAACAAAACUUCAUUUUGAAUUGGGAAAUUAAUGAAAAUUGAUCAUGAAGUUGUAGAUAUUUUCAAGACACUCAAUUUGGACUCAAAUUUUGGAUCAUUUGGAUUUUUGAUUAGAAUAUUUUGGGCACUUGAAGUUGGACUUUUUCACAUUUCAAUGCUUUUGGUCCAAAAUGACCUAUAAUGUUUUGCAUUAUCACAUGUAUUUAUUUUAGGAUUUUGAAAAUUUGUUCAACAUAAAAAAUGAAGUACACAUCUUAAAAUUUCCAAUGCACUUGAUCCCACCUCAAAAUCAUGAAAACUGAAUGAGUUAUGUUCUUGGGAAUUUGACCCAAAAUUAGGGUUUCAAUCAAAAUGACCUAUAACGUUUUGAAAUGGAUGAUGACCUUCUAAGCUUCAAAUAAAUUUUUGAUGAACGUGAAAGUUGUUCAUAUGGUUCUUAAGAACAUUUUUUCUCUUGGGGUCAUAUCCAUUUGACAAACAAAUUAAACGUUAGGUCUCAGUGUACUUCAAAAUAGUCAGAUGAAUUGACUGAUCAACUUCUCAAGUCCAUGCCUCAAAUCUUGAUGAAUUGAUGAUUGAGUGUAGCGGGGUAUUCGUUACCAUUAGAGAUAUUGACUAAAUCCAAGGUAAACCAUACAAGUCGAGUCGCCACCGCACUUCUAUUUAUCCAAAGGAAUGGUUAGAAAGCGAACAAAAACCAAAAAGUUAUUGACUAAAUCCAAGGUAAACCAUACAAGUCGAGUCGCCACCGCACUUCUAUUUAUCCAAAGGAAUGGUUAGAAAGCGAACAAAAACCAAAAAGUUUUAUCGAAUCAAAAACUAGUAAAAAUGUCAGGGUAAGGGGGAUUGGUUAUGCAAUGGGAAGGUUUUAAGCAUCCAAAACAUCCUAGGUACUCCUAGGGAGCCCUUUUCAUAAGUGUUGUUCUAGUCUAAAAGGUGUAGGUAUAUCUAAAGUACUAUUUACUAAAAGGAAGGUUAAAAGAAAAUAACUCGCAAGGAUGUCACAUCCACUGCCUUCGUAUCUCAUCUGAGUAUGACAAUCAGAGUCUUCGUAGCUCGGCUACCUAUGGGUUAAAGAGAAGUGUGCUCGGUAAGACGUCGCGUCUUAUGCCUACGUAUCUCAUCUGGAAUGAGAAUCAGAGCAAAAUGUAGUUUGACUAACUAGGGGUUAAGGAUUGCCAUCUGAACAUGGACUUACAAAAGAGGACACCAACUGUGUCAAAGGAGGGUGGGCAUUGUGUUCAACGUCCUAGCAGUAGGUGUCGCAGCUCGCUGAAUCGAGUCUUAGGCAGUUACCUCUUUGCAAUAGAACAGACUGACAUGCCACAAGAUCAGAGACGCAAGGAAGGUCUAAAAAUGGGGAAGCUCUGCUCUAGAGUUGUCAUGCAAUAUGGACCUAUGUGUUAAGAUUUACAAAGGGGAACAUCUACCUAAUGUUAGCAGGCAAAGAAUAAGGGAAUUCUACCUAUGUUAUCAUACAAAGGGUUCUACCUAAUGGGUGCUACCUAAACGGAACAAGAGUCGACGGAUGGAGCGCGGAGAGGAGUUACGGAUAAGGGUAGAUGGCGAUUGGCACAUGCUUAACAAAUCUUGAUUGACGGGCCAGCCAGGCAAGAAAUCUGCCUCUCUUAGAAAUUCAGUCAUGGUGGCCGCCCUUGAAAUGAUGUAUCUGCCUCAACCAUGAUCAAUGAGGGGAUGAUUCGCGAAAGGGAGUGUGGAGGGCUAAGUACACAUGGCCACACGGGUACCAAUUGUUAUGGAAUAAGAGUAUUUUCAAAUAAUGCGCUUGAAGUGAGAGAAAACUAGCCAAGAAGUCUUGAUAAUUUUGAAGAUUUUCGGAUUUAGGAAUUUUCUAAGUGUCUAAACUUUCAUUUGACUAAGCAUAACUUUCUCAAUUCAAUCCAAAUGGAGCAAGCUUUAUAUCUAUAGAAAGCUUUAGAACAAGAGCAACAACUUCCUGUUGGAGAAAUGUUCAAUUGCGAGCUUUUAUCUUGAUGCAAAAUGGGGCUUAAAGUGAGGCAACGAUCAUGAAAACUUCCUAAAUGGAAAGUCAACCAUUUUCCAAAUUAAAGUAACUUUUCCAAUCUGAUUAAAUGAUGAACAUGAUCCAACCUUGAUCAAAGAUUUACAUGUUAGGAUCCCCUAGACAUGAUUUUGAAUUCCACUCUCAAAUGUCGAGGAUAGUUGACUUUUCUGGGCCCCCACAGUUGGACUUUCCAACUGUCGAUUCUCCGAUUCCAUUGAUCAAUUGAAGCACUUCUAGCUCAAAUAAAGAGAUGAUUUUUUGUAUGUGACCUUGUGGCAUNNNNNNNNNNNNNNNNNNNNNNNNNGCCGGAGGAAUGCGACUUACAGGUAGAUGGCGAUGCCUGAGGCAAUCGACUUACAAGAGGAUGGAUGAAUCUGUGCUGGUUCUGUUACGUUUGAAAAUGAUUACUCGACGUUGGAUCAAGCUUUUGAACUUUAUUUGAAAUGGUUAUCGGAUGUUCGUUUAUUUUGUAUUAACAGGUGACUAAAGAAAUAAAGAAAUAAAUAUUAUACACUUUAUGGGAGAGGGGUGCAUUUGUUAUGAAUGGGGAUUGUUCAUGGCAAACAACAAUAAAGAAUAUAUGCCUCAUACAUCAUACAAGUAGACAACAGAUAUCAAUCAGUCGGAUAAAAAACAAUAUAUAAUCAAACAAAAGAAUCAAAUAAUGAGCAUUUAAACAAUGCAUGGGAGUAUGAACAUGUUAAAUAGUCAAGCAAUAGAAAGCAUGAAUGAGAGAAACAAGUAUAAAAGAUAACAGAUGAAAAUAUACACACGAAGGCGGUCACUGAAUAAUUUAAUCAGGAAAUGAGGUAAAGACCAAAUAAAAUCAAGGUAAAAGCCUCUAAUACAUGGCAUAUGAGAUGAACAAGGAGGAUUAAAAGAUCUCUUCAUUGCCAUAAGCAAUCCCUAAGUCAAACAUCGAUCAUAAAGAAGUCAAUUGAAAAUUCAAGUCAUUUAAAAAAUAACAAAUAAAUAGAAAAUAAUCAAGAAAAUUAUGAAAAAAUUAACUAAAUAAGGUGGGUCAGACAUCAUCAUCCCCAAAAUAUUUUAAAAAUAAUCAAAAAUUGGUACGUGAAUUAAUAAAAAUAAACAAAAGUCAAAUUAAAAGUCCACCAACCAAACUAGUGUUAAAAAUAAAUCCAAAUAAAUUGAAAAUAUGAAAUAAAUUCCAAAAAAUCAGGUUGACCAUGAGACAGUGGGUCAACCUUCAUCCAAAAAUCAAAUCUAACAAUAAUUUAAGGUCAUAAAUAAAUCAAUAAAAAAAGUGUGUAAAAUGCGACCAUUUAGAAUAAAUAAUUAAAAUAAAAUAUUAAUAUUAAAAAUACGAAAAUAAAAUUAUAUAAAAUUAAAUAAAACGUUAGAAAGUGAAAAAAUAUUUUGGCUAAUUUUGACGAAUAAAAAUAUUUUAAAUAAGAAAAAGAAAUACGAAAAUGGAAGGAUUAAUGGUGAUGAACAUGGUAAGCAAGCGUAGAUAUAUCAAAACAAAUGGCCAUGGAAGAGAUGAUUACCAUGGAAAAUAGAAGUGUAAAUGGAAUCUGAUAUGUGAUGAAUCUUUUCUCCUUGCCACGAAAUUCCAAUGCUCCUUUAGGGUUAGGGUUUCACUUCUUAAAUAGGGUGGAUUAGGUGUUCUCAUGGGCUUUUUAAUAAGUGAUUAUCCAUAAGAAUAAAAGUGUGAAGUGAGGUGUAAAAAUGUUGUUAUUUGGGCCAAAUUAAGUGAAUGGAUGUCCAAUGCAUGGCCAAAAGAGGUAAAAAACGUGACUGGUUUGUGCAGCAUGCUUAGAAAUCUGAUUGGGCCAGCCAGGGCCAAAAUCUGCCUAGAAAUCAAGUCAUGGUGCCCACUUUAAAUGAAUGUAAUCUCUCAAACCAUGGAUCAAAUGGAGGAUUUUGAUUCCAAAAUGUGAAAGAGUACAUGGCAAGGUACAAUUGUUAUGAAUAAAGUAUUUUCAAAUAAUGCCUUGAAGUGCAGAGAAAACUAGCCAAGAAGUCUUGAUAAUUUUGAAGAUUUUCGACUUUAGAAAUUUUCUAAGUGUCUAAAAAAUCUCACUUUGAUAAGCAUAACUUUCUCAAUUCUAAUCCAAAUGGAGCAAGCUUUAUAUCAUAGAAAGCUUAGAACAAGAGCAACAACUUCCUGUUGGAGAAAUGUUCAAUUGGAGCUUUUAUCUUGAUGCAAAAUGGGCUUAAAGUGAGUGCAACAUCAUGAAAACUUGCCUAUAUGGAAAGUCAACAUUUCAAAUUAAGUAACUUUUCCAAUCCUUGAUUAAAAUGAUGAAUCCUGAUCCAACCUUGAUCAAAUUUACAUGAGGAUCCCCUAGACAUGAUUUUGAGAUUCCACUCUCAAAAUGUCAGGAGUUGACUUUUCUGGCCCCCACAGUUGACUUUCAACUGUCUGAUUCCGCAUUCAUUGAUCAAUUGAAGCACUUCUAGCUCAAAUAAAGAGAUGAUUUUUUGUAUGUAACCUUGUGGACAUAUGGAGGGUAUGGAAAGAGUUUCACCCAAAGAAUCAGAAAUAAACUGCAUGUUUAUACCAAACCCUAGUUUUAGGGCAAAAUGAUCAGGAACUGAUUGCACUGAUGCAAUGGAUCUUUUUGAGAUGAUUGUAAUCUUCCCUAGGCCAAGAUGCCCUCUCAUCAUGACAUGGAUGGGUCCUCUACUUCCAACCAAAUAUUGCCUGUUGCAGGAUCAUGAAACCCUAAUUUCUGUAUUAAAUCCAGAUGAACACUGCUGAUAGCUUUUAAUCAUCACUGAUUGAACUGAGGACCAUAAUAAAUAACUUGGACCCCUGAGACCUUGAGACUUGUAUACUUAGAAAAUGAGAGUCCAUUUCAUUUUCUUUAUGUGGGCUCCUUUUUUUAAGAAGUGAUGAUCAAAACCUGAUCUCCAUGUCACUAAUGCCAAUAUGCAAUGAGUAUGACCUAAUAUGAUGCUAAUGAAGUGUAAAAUAAUCCAUGCUUCCAGGAAAAAUGAAGGGUAAAUUUUGGGGUUUACAUUGAGGAUACUCAAAUAAGCGCUAAAUAUGAUUAAAUUAUGAAUGAAAGAACUUCCCUUGAUUUUAUUGAUCACGGUUGAGGCUGUCUUCAUGAGCAAGGCACGAUGUGAUGCACAGAUGAGAUUAGGAUAUCCUUGGGAAACAAGCCUCAAACCUUUGGUUUGCUUUGAUAAAAAAUGAGAAUUGAGAUACUUGAGAGGCAUAUAUGAUGAUGAGAGCUUUGGGAACCAUUUCCAUGCUUGCUUCCAUUCUUUACCUGGCCAUCAUCACAUGAGCAUAGGGCCUCUAUGAGCCUUGGGUCUUGUGAUUGAUCAGCUAAAAAAAAGAUGUUAGUGACAUAUUUUUUAUGCUUUUGGUUAGUAAACAAAAUAAGAAAAACAAUGAUAACAAUUCAAGCGAUGCUUGUGAUCUCAAACAAACUCACAAGUGUUCCCGCCCAAAAGGUAGGAGCCAAGAUGCUAUUAUCCUUGAGGCAAGAUGCAAAUG
This 12830-nucleotide long non-coding RNA is filed under the name Lathyrus oleraceus (garden pea). RNAcentral's name for it is "Pisum sativum (pea) long non-coding RNA (PSAT_LNC021920)". Lineage: Eukaryota; Viridiplantae; Streptophyta; Magnoliopsida; Fabales; Fabaceae. The record is from RNAcentral.